AUUAAAAAAGUUUGACUUAUAGUCCGAAAAAUAAGGUACAUCUUUUACUACAACAGUAAGAUUUUUCUGCUUGUGUACCUGUUCCAAUGUUCAUAAUUGAACAUCGGCAAUAGUGAAAUAAGGCUGAAUUUCCUCCAAAAGCAGGUGCAUAAAGAUACACACCCGACGCCACUGAUCCACCCUAACUUUAUGUUGCUGAUCAGAUUAACAUGCCGUCCAGUAUUGCCGUCUGAUUCCACUCAUUACCAAUAUAUCAGUUGUCAGAUCACUACAUAACCGAAGGAAACCACCCGUGAAAAACAUCGCCUAGGCAUGUUUUAUGAGGAUAGAAGUCCUUCAGAAGAACACAGUUGUUACUAGAACUGUUAGCUUCAAGAAUCACAGCCAGGGAAUCUUAGGAAAUAAGUUUAGGCGAUAUAAACUGCCUUAUGCAAAAGUGGAAUUUCUCAACCAUCAGCUAAUGCUUCUUGUCUUUUACAGCGUAAGCUUUAUGUGCCCCAGUAGUCAGCGUAAAAGCCUGAGAUUGUUCCACAACAUUACUCCUAAUUGGUGCUCCCAGUAUUAAACUCGUUUUAUAAGUCGUUGAUGGACAAAUCUAUUUAAAUCAGUUUAUUAUCAGGAAACAGAGUUGCCUUAAAAUUAAAACAUGGAAAUUUCAAAGGUUUGACCUCAAAACGAAAACUUGCUGUUUGUCUUUGACAUGCUCACGAGGGACGUCAAGGUGUUGAGCUAACAGGUUGAUUCAACCUGUUCUCCUAAUGUUGUUUUCAAAUGUUUCCAUUCAUGCCACAUGCUUUGCUGUAAAUGCUUACAUUACGUAAGCAGAGUAAAUAUCCUCAGUCAAUUAGCAAAAUAGGGAGGAGGUCCCAUUCUGUACACUGUCUUUUGUUGCAUUUUUGUUUUGUUAUGAGUCAAGUCAAAGGCAAUUAAUGUUUUCAGCUUUCUUCAGUGACAAUCAAGAACAGCCAUGGUUUUAGAUAUGACCAAUAGGCUCACGGCCGGGGAGCGACACCCCAUCCACUGGCAGCACAAGAAAAAAAAAAAUCUUUAAUUUGCGCUGGAUUUGGUUAUCUUUAGUUCACGAUCCAUACAUCCUGAACUGGAUAGUCCUAUACCGAACAGUGAACAGUUCCUAGAAGACAGUUUAUUUAAUUAGAAACCUUUAUCGUAUUUGUGAGAACACAAUAAGCGCCUCCUCAAUGUUUUUGGCACGGAGAUCAGUUAAGACUGAGACAAGCAUCAAAAUUGCAAUUAACUGUCUAGGCUAACUGGACUGAAUUAUUUUACACUGAUUAGGACGUAGAAAAGACAUUUUAUGGAAACUUUAAUCCAUUUUGAGAAAACAAUGAGAUAAUAAUCUGUCUAAAAAAAAAAACCCAUCUCUUCAUCAUUCUAAUAUUGUGAGAUUUAAAGGCUUUACAUCUGUCUGAGUUGGGUUGGGGGGAGGGGUGGACUUUCCCCGGGUCCUAUGCAUGUAAGAAAUCCCACUAAUCUGGAAUCUACACGAUUUACAAGGUCACCGAAGACAGAGAACAUUUACAAAGAAAGCUAAAGAAUGGACCCUUUUUAAAGAUUCACUUCAGCUCCCACACUUCAUGUUUAUCUGAGCAUGAUUUUUCUUUCUUUCUUUCUUUCUUCUGCAGCUGUUGUUACCAAGCCAGGGUUUACUUCUGAGAGGUGUAGAAAUAUUCAAGGAAAGUGCUGCUGUAAACAAGACAAACAGAGCAGACAGGGGAUGUCAGUCAUCCCCAUCACUCCAGAUAAUUAGUAUUCACACUGUAUUCGCAAACAGCUCAUGCUGGGAUUGAUAAAAGUCCCUUCGGCCCUCCAUAUGUGCGAGUGUGAAAGUGUUGUAAACAGGUGUAUGCUUCUCCUGCUGUCUGUCUUUUUGUUUAUGUCGAUUGUGGUUGUGCAUGGGGAAGAUGCAGUGUCUGUUUGUGUGUUAUUCACACUGUGAAAGGUGGUGGUGUAGCUUUACGCAUACCUGCUAUUUACAAACCACACUCCAGGAUCCCACAGUCCCAUGAUGAAUGUGUGUGCGUUUGUGUAACCUUGCAGUCACAUACACCACAGAGGAAGAAAAGUGGAAAUGAAAAAAGCGAAUGCGGCCGUAGACGACGCAGAAAUUAGCUUUGUUUUGGCGUAGGGCGGCAUAUUAAUGAUCCAAUUAGGAGACAAAAAGAAAAAAAAAAAAAAAUUCAGAGGAAGGAAAUGAAAAGUGCUGGUUGUGGUGGUGUUCGUGCAGAGGGAACUGCCGGAGGAGUUAAAGGGGAAAUCUGCAGCGAGCGUGUGGCGUCUGCAGGACAGAAGGACCUAUCGGAUGGGGAGGAAGAACAAACGGGGGGAUGAGGGAGGAGAAGAACUUGGAAUAGGACGGCUGACAUGAUGAUCCGCUAAAUCUCAAGGCUGGCCAGGUACCAGUAGAUCAGCAGAUUACAAAAGAGCAAUCUCAUUUGAACCUGGUUCAUCAACGACGACGCAGGAGGCGCCGGGGUGGAACACAGUUUGUCCUUGCAGGAGGAUGGACGAGCCCUCCUUCCUCCUCUGAUUGGCCCCUCCCACCCAUAUUCCCACAGACUGGAGACGGAUCGGGGAGGAAAGGCAAGAGGAUUGCAUUUCCCGGAGUCAAUGCUGCAUAGGUGAUAUAGAAGCCUGGUAGUGAGCAGUAACUCAUAGCUAUGACCGAGCAUCUCCGCAGACUCUCCUCUCCACUUCAAGUAUUGAUUUCUGACUGACAGGAGUCGUGAUUGGACACCUAGAUGUGCCAGUGCCACUUGUGUGAUAAUAAUAUAUGUUGGAGGUGUUGUGUUUGCGUGCUGUUUGCAAACUUGUGUCAAGCCAAUUGCUACAUCCUUUAUUGAUGGAGCUGUUCAAUGAGAAUAAAUUGAAUUUGAGGCAUCCACAGUAGAAGUGUGUUAUUUCCCCACUUGGGACCAUCAAGUUGAAUAUCUUAAGUCCCUAAACAUGGGUUUGCCAAAUACCUCCGUGGGUCCUGCCUUUAAACAAUACAACACAAAGUGGGUUUGAAUUGUUCUUAAAUGGCAUGUGUCGUUAAUUUUGCUACCUUUCCUUCAACACUGACAGAUUUGCACAAAAGUAAUUUCAUUGCUUCACUAUUUCAUGAUAUGGUACGGAAUAAAAAAAUCUUUUUAACCCUU
Fundulus heteroclitus (mummichog) is the source of this 3158-nucleotide long non-coding RNA. RefSeq lists it as uncharacterized. The record is from RefSeq and is a predicted model, not a curated record. Lineage: Eukaryota; Metazoa; Chordata; Actinopteri; Cyprinodontiformes; Fundulidae. The transcript is spliced from 2 exons.